This 398-nucleotide ribosomal RNA is filed under the name uncultured bacterium. Its description in RNAcentral is "partial 16S ribosomal RNA". It matches the Rfam family "Bacterial small subunit ribosomal RNA", at positions 360 to 774 of the family's 1533-position model. The record is from RNAcentral.
AAUAUUGCGCAAUGGAGGGAACUCUGACGCAGCGACGCCGCGUGAGCGAUGAAGGCCUUCGGGUCGUAAAGCUCUGUCCUCAGGGAAGAAAAAUGACGGUACCUGAGAAGGAAGCCCCGGCUAACUACGUGCCAGCAGCCGCGGUAAUACGUAGGGGGCAAGCGUUGUCCGGAAUUAUUGGGCGUAAAGCGCGCGCAGGCGGUCCUUUAAGUCUGAUGUGAAAGCCCACGGCUCAACCGUGGAGGGUCAUUGGAAACUGGAGGACUUGAGUACAGAAGAGGAAAGCGGAAUUCCUAGUGUAGCGGUGAAAUGCGUAGAGAUUAGGAGGAACACCAGUGGCGAAGGCGACUUUCUGGACUGUAACUGACGCUGAGGUACGAAAGCGUGGGUAGCGAACA